Molecule: long non-coding RNA, 439 nt
Filed under: Phoenix dactylifera (date palm)
Lineage: Eukaryota; Viridiplantae; Streptophyta; Magnoliopsida; Arecales; Arecaceae
Description: long non-coding RNA (PDAC_LNC016558)
Source: RNAcentral
GAUCGCAUAGUAGCAGCCCUGCACCCUCGCUAGCCCGAUCCCACCUUUCUGAUGAUGAUGGCCGGCUAAGGCUCCGGGCUACGGACGGACAAGGCAGCAGGGCUUGGACCGGUCCAUUGCUAACCCAACCCUCCACCCAGCGACAAGAGAAGCCGAGACACAGAGAAAUGGGGUUUUUGUCCUCCCCCAGAUACCGGAUGGGAUGGGGCCCACCCUCAACUUCCUGUUUAAAAACCCCCUCCCUCCUUCCGACCGUCCCUUCUCCACCAUUUCCAGAUCCCUUACCCCAUCCAAAACCCUCAUCCUCCGCGCCGCGCCGAGCCCCUCGCCCAUGGCCGCCUCCGAGGACUACCUCCGGCGGUCCCUCGCCGAGAAGCAGACCGCCGUCGACGCCCAGUCCGAGGCCGUCCGGGCCCUCAAGGCCCUCCCCGGCGUCUCC